Molecule: ribosomal RNA, 741 nt
Filed under: uncultured bacterium
Lineage: Bacteria
Description: bacterial SSU rRNA
Rfam family: Bacterial small subunit ribosomal RNA
Source: RNAcentral
GAUGAACGCUAGCGACAGGCUUAACACAUGCAAGUCGAGGGGCAUCAUGAGGUAGCAAUACCUUGAUGGCGACCGGCGCACGGGUGAGUAACGCGUAUGCAACCUGCCCGAUACCGGGGUAUAGCCCAUGGAAACGUGGAUUAACACCCCAUAGUACUUUUAUCCUGCAUGGGAUGUGAGUUAAAUGUUCAAGGUAUCGGAUGGGCAUGCGUCCUAUUAGUUAGUUGGCGGGGUAACAGCCCACCAAGACGAUGAUAGGUAGGGGUUCUGAGAGGAAGGUCCCCCACAUUGGAACUGAGACACGGUCCAAACUCCUACGGGAGGCAGCAGUGAGGAAUAUUGGUCAAUGGACGUAAGUCUGAACCAGCCAAGUCGCGUGAGGGAAGACUGCCCUAUGGGUUGUAAACCUCUUUUAUAAGGGAAGAAUAAGUUCUACGUGUAGAAUGAUGCCUGUACCUUAUGAAUAAGCAUCGGCUAACUCCGUGCCAGCAGCCGCGGUAAUACGGAGGAUGCGAGCGUUAUCCGGAUUUAUUGGGUUUAAAGGGUGCGUAGGCGGUUUAUUAAGUUAGUGGUUAAAUAUUUGAGCUAAACUCAAUUGUGCCAUUAAUACUGGUAAACUGGAGUACAGACGAGGUAGGCGGAAUAAGUUAAGUAGCGGUGAAAUGCAUAGAUAUAACUUAGAACUCCGAUAGCGAAGGCAGCUUACCAGACUGUAACUGACGCUGAUGCACGAGAGCGUGG